This 69-nucleotide transfer RNA is filed under the name Rattus norvegicus (Norway rat). It matches the Rfam family "tRNA". From Rfam's summary of the family: Transfer RNA (tRNA) molecules are approximately 80 nucleotides in length. Their secondary structure includes four short double-helical elements and three loops (D, anti-codon, and T loops). The record is from Rfam by way of RNAcentral. Lineage: Eukaryota; Metazoa; Chordata; Mammalia; Rodentia; Muridae.
GGGGAUUUGGCUCAGUGGUAGAGUGCUUGCCUAGCAAGCACAAGGUCCUGGGUUCGGUCCCCAGCUCCG